ACAAUGUUUGUGAAUGGGACAAAAGAUCAGGCUUGAUCGCCCUGUAGCUGGCCACCUUUGACGAGGGUGUCUAGUGUUGAAAGGCCGAAACACCCCGUGAUUCAAAGGUACACUACUGAUGAUGUGUCCCGAAAUUUACA
This is a long non-coding RNA of Thalassophryne amazonica, 140 nucleotides long. RefSeq lists it as uncharacterized. The transcript is spliced from 4 exons. The record is from RefSeq and is a predicted model, not a curated record. NCBI's taxonomy places the organism in Eukaryota, Metazoa, Chordata, Actinopteri, Batrachoidiformes, Batrachoididae.